Molecule: long non-coding RNA, 213 nt
Filed under: Elaeis guineensis (African oil palm)
Lineage: Eukaryota; Viridiplantae; Streptophyta; Magnoliopsida; Arecales; Arecaceae
Description: long non-coding RNA (EGUI_LNC034857)
Source: RNAcentral
CCCUCAGACUUACUAGCUCGAUCCACGAAAAACUAUUAGGUGAGACUGACUCUAUAACAAGUUUCUUGGCAUCUUCACCUUUUGAUGCAAACCAUAAAACUUACUUAGGUGAAGGAAAUUGGUUACUCAGUGCGAUAAUAUCUUUUUAUUGUUUUUUAAUUUAGAUUUUAAGGAGGACUUUUUGCAUACUUCAACCUUUCCACCUAUACCCGC